AGAACGAACGCUGGCGGCAGGCCUCAAACAUGCAAGUCUAGGGGGUGUAGCAAUACAUCACCGGCGGACGGGUGCGUAACACGUGGGAAUAUACCUUUUGGUUCGGAACAACGCAGGGAAACUUGCGCUAAUACCGAAUGUGUCCUUACGGAGAAAGAUUUAUCGCCAAAGGAUUAGCCCGCGUCCGAUUAGCUAGUUGGUGAGGUAAUGGCUCACCAAGGCUCCGAUCGGUAGCUGUUCUGAGAGGAAGAUCAGCCACACUGGGACUGAGACACGGCCCAGACUCCUACGGGAGGCAGCAGUUGGGAAUCUUGGACAAUGGGGGAAACCCUGAUCCAGCCAUGCCGCGUGAGUGAUGAAGGCCUUCGGGUUGUAAAACUCUUUCGACGGGGACGAUAAUGACGGUACCCGUAGAGAAGCUCCGGCUAACUUCGUGCCAGCAGCCGC
RNAcentral lists this ribosomal RNA (447 nucleotides) under uncultured bacterium. Its description in RNAcentral is "SSU rRNA". It matches the Rfam family "Bacterial small subunit ribosomal RNA", at positions 26 to 518 of the family's 1533-position model. The record is from RNAcentral.